GUCCACGCCGUAAACGAUGAGCACUAGGUGUUGCGGGUAUUGACCCCUGCAGUGCCGACGCUAACGCAUUAAGUGCUCCGCCUGGGGAGUACGGCCGCAAGGCUAAAACUCAAAGGAAUUGACGGGGGCCCCGCACAAGCGGUGGAGUAUGUGGUUUAAUUCGACGCAACGCGCAGAACCUUACCCGGGUUUGACAUCGAGGUAACACUCCCAGAAACGGGGGUGGCCCCUUCGGGGGACCAAAGACAGGUGCUGCAUGGCUGUCGU
Molecule: ribosomal RNA, 267 nt
Filed under: uncultured bacterium
Lineage: Bacteria
Description: partial 16S ribosomal RNA
Rfam family: Bacterial small subunit ribosomal RNA
Source: RNAcentral